This 489-nucleotide ribosomal RNA is filed under the name Synechococcus sp. CCY0426. RNAcentral's name for it is "bacterial SSU rRNA". It matches the Rfam family "Bacterial small subunit ribosomal RNA", at positions 1045 to 1533 of the family's 1533-position model. Lineage: Bacteria; Bacillati; Cyanobacteriota; Cyanophyceae; Synechococcales; Synechococcaceae. The record is from RNAcentral.
AUGGCUGUCGUCAGCUCGUGUCGUGAGAUGUUGGGUUAAGUCCCGCAACGAGCGCAACCCACGUCUUUAGUUGCCAGCAUUCAGUUGGGCACUCUAGAGAGACCGCCGGUGAUAAACCGGAGGAAGGUGUGGAUGACGYCAAGUCAUCAUGCCCCUUACAUCCUGGGCUACACACGUACUACAAUGCUACGGACAAAGGGUUGCAAGCUCGCGAGAGUUAGCUAAUCCCAUAAACCGUGGCUCAGUUCAGAUCGUAGGCUGCAACUCGCCUACGUGAAGGAGGAAUCGCUAGUAAUCGCAGGUCAGCAUACUGCGGUGAAUACGUUCCCGGGCCUUGUACACACCGCCCGUCACACCAUGGAAGUUGGCCAUGCCCGAAGUCGUUACUCCAACCCUUGUGGAGGAGGACGCCGAAGGUGGGGCUGAUGACUGGGGUGAAGUCGUAACAAGGUAGCCGUACCGGAAGGUGCGGCUGGAUCACCUCCUAAC